CGCCGGAAGUCUACGCCUCCAUCAAAUGACUCAAAUCCCUCCUUUUCCAAUUCAGCUUCUUCUUCCUUUUCUAAACAAUCCCACCCAUUCCCAGCUUAAAAGCUUAGAAAAUAAAGGAAAUAAAAACCACCUUCUUUCCUCGUCAUCGUCGCAUGUGUAGAUCCAAAAUGGCAACCGAUGCCUCCGAACCCAUCCCAACUACGCCACCCCAUCCCACCCCACGUCCGGUCAGGACCAAACCCAGAACCUCCCCUCAAGCAACACAAUCUCCCCGCCCCCCUCCCCAAAUUCUCCAUUCGCUAAACUUCCUUCCUCCGGUCCCUCCACCAGCGGCACCUUUCAUUCAGGUUCUGCCCCGGCCACCGGCUCCGGUUCUGAUUUUCGACUAAAUUCGUCGGUUGGCACAACCUCCGCUUCAAGCCGUACGUCCCUCUCCAGCCUCCAUCUCUCCCUCCCGGAACACGCCCAUAUUUAUGAUUUCUCCGAAAUCCGUUCCGCCACCAACAAUUUUCUCGCCAAACGCUACUCCACUUCCUCCUCCUCCUCCCAGUCCUGGCGCUGCGAGCUCAACGGAAAGGACGUCAUUAUUUUUCAACGGAAAAUCCAUCAGACAAUCCACGAAUCUGAGCUGAG
RNAcentral lists this long non-coding RNA (633 nucleotides) under Coffea arabica (coffee). RNAcentral's name for it is "long non-coding RNA (CARA_LNC000316)". The record is from RNAcentral. Lineage: Eukaryota; Viridiplantae; Streptophyta; Magnoliopsida; Gentianales; Rubiaceae.